CUAAAAACAUAGCCCAACUACAUACCCCAACAUCAAACUAUAAGCCAAAAUAUUUUAACAAUUUAGUAAAGAAGAUUAAAAAAUUCAUAGGAGCUAUAAAUACGUACCGCAAGGGAAAUGUGAAAUAACAAUGAAACACUAAUUAAGUGCAAAAAAGUAGAGCCACGCCCUCGUACCUUUUGCAUCAUGGUUUAACUAGUAAAUUCAGGCAAAAAGAAUUGUAGUCUGAUACCCCGAAACUAAGUGAGCUACUCCAGGACAGCUUAAUGAGCCAACCCGUCUCUGUUGCAAAAGAGUGGGAAGAUCUUAGAGUAGAGAUGAUAUACCUAACGAACUUAGCGAUAGCUGGUUAUUCAGGAAAAGAAUUUUAGUUCAACCUAAAGCUACAAUAAUAUCUAAGAUAAAAACUUAGCUUUAGAGUAAAUCAGAGAGGUAACAGCCUAUCUGAAUCAGGAUACAGCCUCCACCUAUGGGUAAUAUAACCUUAAAGUAACCAAGUAGGCCUAAGAGCAGCCACCUUUAAAACAGCGUCAAAGCUUAAUUACUAUACACCACAAAUCCCAAAACCAAAUUAAAACCCUACCCCAAUACUGAGUAAUUCCAUACAUUUAUGGAAGCUAUUAUGUUAAAACUAGUAACAUGAAGUUAAACCUUCUCUUAAAUGUAAGUAUAAGUCAGAAUGGAUAACACACUGACAAUUAACAGCUUUAACUAAAGUGACAACCCAACAAGAAAACCUCACUAAUUAAUCUGUUAAUCUAACACAAGAACAUUUAAAGAAAGACUUAAAGAAAAAGAAGGAACUCGGCAAAACUGAUUCCGCCUGUUUACCAAAAACAUCGCCUCCUGGAUUAACUUAUAGGAGGUCCAGCCUGCCCAGUGACUCUGUUUAACGGCCGCGGUAUCCUAACCGUGCGAAGGUAGCGUAAUCACCUGUUUUUUAAUUAAAGACCUGUAUGAAAGGCAUCACGAGAAUCAUACUGUCUCCUUUUUCAAGUCAGUGAAACUAAUCUCCCCGUGAAAAAGCGGGAAUGUCACUACAAGACGAGAAGACCCUUUGGAGCUUUAGACAAGAUAAACAUUCGCCCACUUUUAAUCCCAUAUACCUCCAGGCGCUCUGUCUAUAAGUCUUGGGUUGGGGCAACCACGGAGUAAAAACAAACCUCCGAGCUGAACGGAAAUUUCCUAAACAAAAAGCAACAGCUUUAUGUAUCAACAAACUGACACAAUUUGACCCAAUAUAUUUUGAUUAACGAACCAAGUUACCCUAGGGAUAACAGCGCAAUCCACUUUAAGAGUUCAUAUCGAAAAGUGGGCUUACGACCUCGAUGUUGGAUCAAGGUACCCUGGUGGUGCAGCCGCUACCAAAGGUUCGUUUGUUCAACGAUUAAAACCUCACGCGAUCUGAGUUCAGACCGGAGAAAUCCAGGUCAGUUUCUAUCUGUAAAGAGCUCUUUCCAGUACGAAAGGACAGAAACAGCAUGGCCAAUAUAACCUACAAGCCAUACCUAGUAACUUCUGAUUUUUCUUAAAAAAUUAUUACCCUCCCAUAUAACUCAAGAUAAGAGAA
Molecule: ribosomal RNA, 1570 nt
Filed under: Eleutherodactylus alcoae
Lineage: Eukaryota; Metazoa; Chordata; Amphibia; Anura; Eleutherodactylidae
Description: 16S ribosomal RNA
Rfam family: Bacterial large subunit ribosomal RNA
Source: RNAcentral